UUGGGUUGACGCGUUGAUUAUAAACUUUUUUUGUAUUUAUCAUCAUGGCAAUAAUAAUUUAUCCUUUAAAAUUAACUUGUCUUAUGUUCAACCUUUUUGACUUGUAAUCUAUUUAAACAUGUUAUUUUUAAUUACUUAAUUUAUUAACAGUUUACUUAGGUAAUUAUUAAUCUUUUAUUAUUAUAGUACUUCUAUUAUUACUAGUCACUACCAGGUGUGGUUAAAUUUUAAUUUUGGUAUUUUAUUUAUACUCGGCUGUAACCCAUUGAAUGUUUGUUUCUGAAAAACAAAAAAAAAAUUAUUCAAGGCUUUGGUGUUCUUAAAAAACCCAUUUACAUAUGAAUGCCUAUUGUCGGAGAAAACCUCAAUCAUUGGUUUUUGAAAAAACGCCAAGACUCUUAAAUAUCUAAGCAAAUCACAGUUGGGUAUAUGAAGAACACCAUUUUUUAUUAUUAUUCGAGAGGUGACAAAAACAUCCAGGCUAGUUGUUUAAGACUGUGGGGUGUGGAGCGACUUGGGUUGGGGGUAUUGCUCGACACGUGGUAAAUGUGGGCUCCAACAGUCCACACCCAAAAAAAUGGGGUGUGGGAGUGGCAUGGCCAGGCCGGCGUGGGGUGCCAUGUGGGUUUUUUAAGGUUGACAAUUAUAUAAAAACACAACUUAUUAAUUGAAAAAAAAGUUACAUAAAAAAACCUAUUUAACAAAUCCUAAAAAAUAAAAAAAACCUACUUAUUA
Molecule: long non-coding RNA, 735 nt
Filed under: Helianthus annuus (common sunflower)
Lineage: Eukaryota; Viridiplantae; Streptophyta; Magnoliopsida; Asterales; Asteraceae
Description: hypothetical non coding rna
Source: RNAcentral